AUUCUAUCAAGAGUAGGCAUACUUAUAACAUUAUAUUUAAUCAUUUUUCAGUGGUAGACCAUUGAUAGAAAAUAUCAUGCAGAAGGUUGGGGUAGACACAAGAAUGUUUGAUAGGCAUAUGAAAACACAUCUGGGAGGAAAUGCAUCACUCUGACAUUGUCAGUGUGAGUUCCCUGUUCAAGAAAUAGAGAACUCAAGAAUUCCAGGGAAUUUGUCAUACACAGUAAUGACACUUGAAGAAGUAUCAAAAGAGAGAGUAGUUAAAAGCUCUUUUAUAAGCUUAGUAAAAACAGAUCAGAUUUCAGUUUCAAGCCAACUUUAGGGAAACAUAAAUUCAACAUGAACAGCACUAGAGCUCCACAUCAAUUAUCAGCAAAAGAUUACAAAUGAUGUCUGUAGCAGGCAUUUUAAGGGUUCAAUAAUUAAAUUCCUCUUUGCAAAAAUGGCAUAUCUACCAAUACAAGAAGCAUCAGGCACAAUAUUGAAUCAAAACUCACCCAUUUACAAAGCUUAUGAUCAAAAUGGAGCAAGGUAUAAUACCAAGCAACCAGUAAAUAUUUCAUGUUACCUUCUCAAGGCCACCACGA
Molecule: unclassified non-coding RNA, 587 nt
Filed under: Hevea brasiliensis (rubber tree)
Lineage: Eukaryota; Viridiplantae; Streptophyta; Magnoliopsida; Malpighiales; Euphorbiaceae
Source: RNAcentral